Long non-coding RNA from Homo sapiens (human), 303 nucleotides. RefSeq lists it as uncharacterized. The record is from RefSeq and is a predicted model, not a curated record. The transcript has 2 exons. NCBI's taxonomy places the organism in Eukaryota, Metazoa, Chordata, Mammalia, Primates, Hominidae.
CAGGACUGAAAGCUGCUCUGGGUGAGUCAGUGAGUGAGUGGGUUGUUAGUGGACAUCAUCCGAGCAAAACUUGAAAAGUGCUUAUAUGACUGGGCUUACCUGUACAUGUUCCUGCUUUUACAUGAGAGGCACAUGCCUCCAAUAUAACCACUGGUCCAAGAAAGAUAGGAAAUACAUGGAGAAAACCUGGUUUCUAUCUGAAGUUUGGAGCCACCCCAACAAAAAAAAGCCUGAAGAAGGGGCACUCCAAGCCACUCAAAAACACAUGAGCAAGAAAUAAAUGCCUAUUGCUGAUGCCACUGA